This 169-nucleotide non-coding RNA is filed under the name Rhizobium lentis. Lineage: Bacteria; Pseudomonadati; Pseudomonadota; Alphaproteobacteria; Hyphomicrobiales; Rhizobiaceae. The record is from RNAcentral.
GGAAGGGCGACCAACCGUGAGGAGGAAGCGUGGAUCGAAACUGAGGGCCGAUGAACAAGAAUCGGAUAUGGCGGUGCCGACCAGGGCGAGCGGGCAAAGAACGGUGAAGCUCUCUUGACCAAGAGGCGGUGGCGUAGAUCCGGCGGUCGGGCAGUGAAGGAGUGCGCUC